This 497-nucleotide ribosomal RNA is filed under the name uncultured bacterium. Its description in RNAcentral is "partial 16S ribosomal RNA". It matches the Rfam family "Bacterial small subunit ribosomal RNA", at positions 28 to 507 of the family's 1533-position model. The record is from RNAcentral.
GACGAACGCUGGCGGCGUGCCUAAUACAUGCAAGUAGAACGCUGAAGAGAGGAGCUUGCUCUUCUUGGAUGAGUUGCGAACGGGUGAGUAACGCGUAGGUAACCUGCCUUGUAGCGGGGGAUAACUAUUGGAAACGAUAGCUAAUACCGCAUAACAAUGGAUGACCCAUGUCAUUUAUUUGAAAGGGGCAAAUGCUCCACUACAAGAUGGACCUGCGUUGUAUUAGCUAGUAGGUGAGGUAACGGCUCACCUAGGCGACGAUACAUAGCCGACCUGAGAGGGUGGUCGGCCACACUGGGACGGAGACCAGGCCCAGACUCCUACGGGAGGCAGCAGUAGGGAAUCUUCGGCAAUGGGGGCAACCCUGACCGAGCAACGCCGCGUGAGUGAAGAAGGGUUUCGGAUCGUAAAGCUCUGUUGUAAGUCAAGAACGAGUGUGAGAGUGGAAAGUUCACACUGUGACGGUAGCUUACCAGAAAGGGACGGCUAACUACGUG